This 1554-nucleotide ribosomal RNA is filed under the name Klebsiella pneumoniae. Its description in RNAcentral is "bacterial SSU rRNA". It matches the Rfam family "Bacterial small subunit ribosomal RNA". RNAcentral also lists the same sequence under 1 other name. The record is from RNAcentral. Lineage: Bacteria; Pseudomonadati; Pseudomonadota; Gammaproteobacteria; Enterobacterales; Enterobacteriaceae.
ACUUAAAUUGAAGAGUUUGAUCAUGGCUCAGAUUGAACGCUGGCGGCAGGCCUAACACAUGCAAGUCGAGCGGUAGCACAGAGAGCUUGCUCUCGGGUGACGAGCGGCGGACGGGUGAGUAAUGUCUGGGAAACUGCCUGAUGGAGGGGGAUAACUACUGGAAACGGUAGCUAAUACCGCAUAACGUCGCAAGACCAAAGUGGGGGACCUUCGGGCCUCAUGCCAUCAGAUGUGCCCAGAUGGGAUUAGCUAGUAGGUGGGGUAACGGCUCACCUAGGCGACGAUCCCUAGCUGGUCUGAGAGGAUGACCAGCCACACUGGAACUGAGACACGGUCCAGACUCCUACGGGAGGCAGCAGUGGGGAAUAUUGCACAAUGGGCGCAAGCCUGAUGCAGCCAUGCCGCGUGUGUGAAGAAGGCCUUCGGGUUGUAAAGCACUUUCAGCGGGGAGGAAGGCGGUGAGGUUAAUAACCUCACCGAUUGACGUUACCCGCAGAAGAAGCACCGGCUAACUCCGUGCCAGCAGCCGCGGUAAUACGGAGGGUGCAAGCGUUAAUCGGAAUUACUGGGCGUAAAGCGCACGCAGGCGGUCUGUCAAGUCGGAUGUGAAAUCCCCGGGCUCAACCUGGGAACUGCAUUCGAAACUGGCAGGCUAGAGUCUUGUAGAGGGGGGUAGAAUUCCAGGUGUAGCGGUGAAAUGCGUAGAGAUCUGGAGGAAUACCGGUGGCGAAGGCGGCCCCCUGGACAAAGACUGACGCUCAGGUGCGAAAGCGUGGGGAGCAAACAGGAUUAGAUACCCUGGUAGUCCACGCCGUAAACGAUGUCGAUUUGGAGGUUGUGCCCUUGAGGCGUGGCUUCCGGAGCUAACGCGUUAAAUCGACCGCCUGGGGAGUACGGCCGCAAGGUUAAAACUCAAAUGAAUUGACGGGGGCCCGCACAAGCGGUGGAGCAUGUGGUUUAAUUCGAUGCAACGCGAAGAACCUUACCUGGUCUUGACAUCCACAGAACUUUCCAGAGAUGGAUUGGUGCCUUCGGGAACUGUGAGACAGGUGCUGCAUGGCUGUCGUCAGCUCGUGUUGUGAAAUGUUGGGUUAAGUCCCGCAACGAGCGCAACCCUUAUCCUUUGUUGCCAGCGGUUCGGCCGGGAACUCAAAGGAGACUGCCAGUGAUAAACUGGAGGAAGGUGGGGAUGACGUCAAGUCAUCAUGGCCCUUACGACCAGGGCUACACACGUGCUACAAUGGCAUAUACAAAGAGAAGCGACCUCGCGAGAGCAAGCGGACCUCAUAAAGUAUGUCGUAGUCCGGAUUGGAGUCUGCAACUCGACUCCAUGAAGUCGGAAUCGCUAGUAAUCGUAGAUCAGAAUGCUACGGUGAAUACGUUCCCGGGCCUUGUACACACCGCCCGUCACACCAUGGGAGUGGGUUGCAAAAGAAGUAGGUAGCUUAACCUUCGGGAGGGCGCUUACCACUUUGUGAUUCAUGACUGGGGUGAAGUCGUAACAAGGUAACCGUAGGGGAACCUGCGGUUGGAUCACCUCCUUACCUUAAAGAA